Molecule: ribosomal RNA, 461 nt
Filed under: uncultured bacterium
Lineage: Bacteria
Description: bacterial SSU rRNA
Rfam family: Bacterial small subunit ribosomal RNA
Source: RNAcentral
GACGAACGCUGGCGGCGUGCCUAACACAUGCAAGUCGAACGGGGUAUUUCUUCGGAGAUACUUAGUGGCGAACGGGUGAGUAACGCGUGAGAAACCUGCCUUUCAGUGGGGGACAACAGUUGGAAACGACUGCUAAUACCGCAUAAUGUUAUUUGGGGGCAUCCUUGAAUAACCAAAGAUUUAUUGCUGAAAGAUGGUCUCGCGUCUGAUUAGCUAGUUGGUGAGGUAACGGCUCACCAAGGCGACGAUCAGUAGCCGGUCUGAGAGGAUGAACGGCCACAUUGGGACUGAGAUACGGCCCAGACUCCUACGGGAGGCAGCAGUGGGGAAUAUUGGGCAAUGGGGGAAACCCUGACCCAGCAACGCCGCGUGAAGGAAGAAGGCUUUCGGGUUGUAAACUUCUUUUACCAGGGACGAAGGACGUGACGGUACCUGGAGAAAAAGCAACGGCUAACUACGUG